RNAcentral lists this ribosomal RNA (836 nucleotides) under Pediococcus cellicola. RNAcentral describes it as "bacterial SSU rRNA". It matches the Rfam family "Bacterial small subunit ribosomal RNA", at positions 8 to 796 of the family's 1533-position model. Lineage: Bacteria; Bacillati; Bacillota; Bacilli; Lactobacillales; Lactobacillaceae. The record is from RNAcentral.
AGAGUUUGAAUCAUGGCUCAGGAUGAACGCUGGCGGCGUGCCUAAUACAUGCAAGUCGGACGCACUUUCGUUAAAUGAAUUAGAGAUGCUUGCAUCGAAGAUGAUUUUAACCAUAAAGUGAGUGGCGAACGGGUGAGUAACACGUGGGUAACCUGCCCAGAAGCGGGGGAUAACACCUGGAAACAGAUGCUAAUACCGCAUAAUAACGAAAACCGCAUGGUUUUCGUUUAAAAGAUGGCUUCGGCUAUCACUUCUGGAUGGACCCGCGGCGUAUUAGCUAGUUGGUGAGAUAAUGGCUCACCAAGGCAGUGAUACGUAGCCGACCUGAGAGGGUAAUCGGCCACAUUGGGACUGAGACACGGCCCAGACUCCUACGGGAGGCAGCAGUAGGGAAUCUUCCACAAUGGACGCAAGUCUGAUGGAGCAACGCCGCGUGAGUGAUGAAGGCUUUCGGGUCGUAAAACUCUGUUGUUGGAGAAGAACGUGUGUGAGAGUAACUGCUCAUGCAGUGACGGUAUCCAACCAGAAAGCCACGGCUAACUACGUGCCAGCAGCCGCGGUAAUACGUAGGUGGCAAGCGUUAUCCGGAUUUAUUGGGCGUAAAGCGAGCGCAGGCGGUCUUUUAAGUCUAAUGUGAAAGCCUUCGGCUUAACCGAAGAAGUGCAUUGGAAACUGAGAGACUUGAGUGCAGAAGAGGAGAGUGGAACUCCAUGUGUAGCGGUGAAAUGCGUAGAUAUAUGGAAGAACACCAGUGGCGAAGGCGGCUCUCUGGUCUGCAACUGACGCUGAGGCUCGAAAGCAUGGGUAGCGAACAGGAUUAGAUACCCUGGUAGUCC